UUGGCAAACGCUGUACGUUUUCGUAUAGAGGAAAGUCCAUGCUCACAAGGACUGUGAUGUCCUUAGUGUUCGUGCUUAGGGAAACGAUAACCUAAGGUAGAGAAAUCUAACGGCGUAGAAAUAAUCUAAGUCGAUCGAUAAGAUUAAAGUAUACAUAACGUGCCACAGUGACGAUAGUUUGAAGAAAUUUAAACGUGAAACGUUGGUAAACCCCACGAGUGAGAAACCCAAAUUUUGGUAGGGGAGUCCUGAUGCAGGAAAGAUAACGAAUUCAGGGACCGAGUAAUCGGUAGAUAGAUGUUUGCCACCUAGAAAUAGGUACAGAACAUGGCUUAUAA
RNAcentral lists this RNase P RNA (338 nucleotides) under chicken gut metagenome. Its description in RNAcentral is "Bacterial RNase P class B". It matches the Rfam family "Bacterial RNase P class B". From Rfam's summary of the family: Ribonuclease P (RNase P) is a ubiquitous endoribonuclease, found in archaea, bacteria and eukarya as well as chloroplasts and mitochondria. Its best characterised activity is the generation of mature 5'-ends of tRNAs by cleaving the 5'-leader elements of precursor-tRNAs. The record is from RNAcentral.